This 294-nucleotide unclassified non-coding RNA is filed under the name uncultured Atheliales. RNAcentral's name for it is "sequence contains ITS2". The stretch from base 1 to 52 matches the Rfam family "5.8S ribosomal RNA", at positions 103 to 154 of the family's 154-position model. Lineage: Eukaryota; Fungi; Basidiomycota; Agaricomycetes; Atheliales. The record is from RNAcentral.
AACGCACCUUGCGCCUCGUGGUAUUCCGCGAGGCAUGCCUGUUUGAGUGUCAUUAAAUUAUCAACCUCAAAAGCUUUAUAACUUUUGAUGGCUUGGACUUGAGGUGUGCUGGACUUUUAUUAGUUCGGCUCCCUUUUAAAUGCAUUAGCAGAGCAACUCGCUUCCGGCUAACAUUGACGUGAUAAUUAUCUUACGUCGUUGUCUACCGGUUCCAGAGUCUGCUUAUAAUGGUCUUAGGACAACACAUAAUGACAAUUUGACCUCAAAUCAGGUAGGACUACCCGCUGAACUUAA